CUUUAGUUCAUUUGGCAGCUUUUGCCUUGUUCUUUCACUCUCUAAUGUUCUUUCUUCUUUCACUCUCUACUUCUUCCAUUACUCAUAUGAAUUGUACUCCAGUUUUGAAAUCAUCUUUUACGGCAAAAUUGAAGGAACUUCAACCUAAUGAUUAUCAAAUUAUGUUGUUGAAGAAGACCAUUCAAAUAAUGGUGGUUUGAUGCAAAAAUAAGAAGAAAUAAGUGUGGUCUUUGUUUGUCUUAAAACAACUUUUCCAAAAAGGUCACAUCUUGUUGAAAUUUAAAAAUAGGAUCCAAGACUUGUGAACCAAGAAUAUGAUAUCAUACGUGUAAAAGAAUUUAUCAUACAUGUGAAUCAAUGUAUAAUUAUGAUGUCAUACAUGUGAACUAAUUUGUCAUACAUGUGAACCAAUAUUAUACAUUCGAAUGUUUACUGGAACGACACACUUUCAUUAUACAAUGAUUUGAAUAUAUAACAACAUAUUAUA
Long non-coding RNA from Capsicum annuum, 487 nucleotides. RefSeq lists it as uncharacterized. NCBI's taxonomy places the organism in Eukaryota, Viridiplantae, Streptophyta, Magnoliopsida, Solanales, Solanaceae. The record is from RefSeq and is a predicted model, not a curated record. The transcript is spliced from 2 exons.